AACGAACGCUGGCGGCAGGCCUAACACAUGCAAGUCGAACGCUGUAGCAAUACAGAGUGGCAGACGGGUGAGUAACGCGUGGGAACCUUCCCAGUGGUGCGGAAUAGCUCAGGGAAACUUGAGGUAAUACCGCAUAAGCCCCUAGGGGGAAAGAUUUAUCGCCAUUGGAUGGGCCCGCGUCGGAUUAGCUAGUUGGUGAGGUAAUGGCUCACCAAGGCAACGAUCCGUAGCGGUUUGAGAGAAUGACCAGCCACACUGGGACUGAGACACGGCCCAGACUCCUACGGGAGGCAGCAGUGGGGAAUCUUGGACAAUGGGCGCAAGCCUGAUCCAGCCAUGCCGCGUGAGUGACGAAGGCCUUAGGGUUGUAAAGCUCUUUU
RNAcentral lists this ribosomal RNA (380 nucleotides) under uncultured bacterium. RNAcentral describes it as "bacterial SSU rRNA". It matches the Rfam family "Bacterial small subunit ribosomal RNA", at positions 29 to 437 of the family's 1533-position model. The record is from RNAcentral.